UACGAAGGGGGCUAGCGUUGCUCGGAAUCACUGGGCGUAAAGCGCACGUAGGCGGAUCUUUAAGUCAGGGGUGAAAUCCUGGAGCUCAACUCCAGAACUGCCUUUGAUACUGGGGAUCUCGAGUCCGGUAGGGGAGUGUGGAAUUCCCGGUGUAGCGGUGAAAUGCGCAGAUAUCGGGAGGAACACCAGUGGCGAAGGCGGCACUCUGGGCCGGUACUGACGCUGAGGAGCGAAAGCGUGGGGAGCGAACAGG
RNAcentral lists this ribosomal RNA (253 nucleotides) under uncultured bacterium. Its description in RNAcentral is "partial 16S ribosomal RNA". It matches the Rfam family "Bacterial small subunit ribosomal RNA", at positions 524 to 776 of the family's 1533-position model. The record is from RNAcentral.